AGCUCCAAUAGCGUAUAUUAAAGUUGUUGCAGUUAAAAAGCUCGUAGUUGGAUUUCGGGGCGGCCCGGCCGGUCCGCCGCAAGGCGAGCACUGGUCGGGCGCCCUUCCUCUCGAAGGCUUCGACUGCUCUUGAUUGUGGUGGUCGAGGAGUUCGGGACGUUUACUUUGAAAAAAUUAGAGUGUUCAAGGCAGGCCGUGGCCUGAAUACAUUAGCAUGGAAUAAUGGAAGAGGACCUCGGUCCUAUUUUGUUGGUUUCCAGGGCCGAAGUAAUGAUUGAGAGGGACAGUUGGGGGCAUUCGUAUUUAAUUGUCAGAGGUGAAAUUCUCGGAUUUAUGAAAGACGAACAAGUGCGAAAGCAUUUGCCAAGGAUGUUUUCA
This 378-nucleotide ribosomal RNA is filed under the name marine Metazoa environmental sample. Its description in RNAcentral is "SSU rRNA". It matches the Rfam family "Eukaryotic small subunit ribosomal RNA", at positions 587 to 972 of the family's 1831-position model. Lineage: Eukaryota; Metazoa. The record is from RNAcentral.